RNAcentral lists this long non-coding RNA (264 nucleotides) under Cyanistes caeruleus (blue tit). RNAcentral describes it as "lncRNA (ENSCCEG00000014847.1)". Lineage: Eukaryota; Metazoa; Chordata; Aves; Passeriformes; Paridae. The record is from RNAcentral.
UAGAAAAGGUCACUAGCUACACUGACACAUAGAGUUAGCCUCUCUUCCCAUUCCUGCUCCACCUGACAUUAGUACCAAAGGCUAGUUUGCCCUGGCUUCAGGACAGCACACCAUUUCUAACCCACCAUGAAGACAGAACAACACAGACAGACAGUACCAGAGAUCAGGAUACCUUCCAAAGAAGCCAAAGGCAUUACAGGGAUGCAAAAUUUGAAUACGAAGGAAGAAACUCAAGAGUGCCUGAUCCAAAUCCCACUGGACUAG